GACGAAGGAUGCAAGCGUUAUCCGGAUUCAUUGGGUUUAAAGGGUGCGUAGGUGGGCAGGUAAGUCAGUGGUGAAAUCUCCGGGCUUAACUCGGAAACUGCCAUUGAUACUAUCUGUCUUGAAUACCGUGGAGGUUAGCGGAAUAUGUCAUGUAGCGGUGAAAUGCUUAGAUAUGACAUAGAACACCAAUUGCGAAGGCAGCUGGCUACACGAAUAUUGACACUGAUGCACGAAAGCGUGGGGAUCAAACAGG
This 253-nucleotide ribosomal RNA is filed under the name uncultured bacterium. Its description in RNAcentral is "partial 16S ribosomal RNA". It matches the Rfam family "Bacterial small subunit ribosomal RNA", at positions 524 to 776 of the family's 1533-position model. The record is from RNAcentral.